GGAAGAAGCCUGAUUAGCAGAGGCUUUCUAUCUGGUUAAGUUUGGGACUUGGAGAGAAGUAGUUCAAGGAUCUGCAGUCCAGGUACGUGAAAGGAGAGCAGUGAGGGAGACGCUGCUCUGUCUUCUCCGUGGAUUGUAGUGAGGAACUUCUCAAACUGAUGGCAGUACUGAAAAGUUACUUUGUCAGGGGCUAUUUGCUACUGAGUGCUUGAUUUCAUCCUAACAGACUCAUGAAAUGGGUCUAGUUGGUUCUGGUUAUAGAAGAGGAAACUGAGACAUAAAAGUUAAGUAACCUGUCUGAGAUUAUACAAGUAGGAAAGCUGGAUCUGAAUUUAAUGGCAUUAAAAUUUCAUGAGAGUGAGAUUAAUUAGUCUUUUACAAAGCUGAUAGUCAGUUUUCUGAGCAGGCCAGGCGUGGUGGUGCAAGCCACAGCGAUCGAGAGGAGACAGAGGCAGAAGGAGCUCUUGAGAGUUCAAGGCCAGUCUACUCUACAUAGUGAGUUCUAGGACAGCCAGGGCUAAAUAGGGAAAUCCUUUCCCAAAUAAACAAUUAAACAAAGUACCCCGAAGGUGUAAACUAAAGUUCCCAAAUAAACAAUUAAUUGAACAAAUAAAGUACCCUGAAGGUGUAAACUAAAGUUCCCAAAUAAACAAUUAAUUGAACAAAUAAAGUACCCUGAAGGUGUAAAGUAAA
Molecule: long non-coding RNA, 693 nt
Organism: Mastomys coucha (southern multimammate mouse)
Lineage: Eukaryota; Metazoa; Chordata; Mammalia; Rodentia; Muridae
Exons: 2
Source: RefSeq, a predicted model, not a curated record